UACGUAGGUGGCAAGCGUUGUCCGGAUUUACUGGGCGUAAAGAGCGCGCAGGCGGUCGUUCAAGUCGCGUGUGAAAGCCCCCGGCUCAACUGGGGAGGGUCACGCGAUACUGAUCGACUCGAAGGCAGGAGAGGGUAGUGGAAUUCCCGGUGUAGUGGUGAAAUGCGUAGAUAUCAGGAGGAACACCAAUGGCGAAGGCAGCUCGCUGGGACGUGACUGACGCUGAGACGCGAAAGCGUGGGGAGCAAACAGG
RNAcentral lists this ribosomal RNA (253 nucleotides) under uncultured bacterium. RNAcentral describes it as "partial 16S ribosomal RNA". It matches the Rfam family "Bacterial small subunit ribosomal RNA", at positions 524 to 776 of the family's 1533-position model. The record is from RNAcentral.